CUCAGGCCCCCAGUACCACCGCCAGGUCCAUUGCCACCCAGUCUCCCACCUGUUACAGGACCACCACCUCCACUUCCUCCUUUGCAGCCAUCUGGCAUGGAUGCUCCUCCAAACUCUGCAACCAGUUCUGUUCCUACUGUAGUAACAACUGGCAUUCAUCACCAGCCUCCUCCUGCUCCACCCUCUCUUUUUACUGCAGAUACAUAUGACACAGAUGGCUACAAUCCUGAAGCCCCAAGCAUAACAAACACUUCCAGACCUAUGUAUAGACACAGAGUGCAUGCACAAAGGCCCAACUUGAUAGGACUAACAUCAGGGGAUAUGGAUUUGCCACCCAGAGAAAAGCCUCCCAAUAAAAGCAGUAUGAGGAUAGUAGUGGACUCAGAAUCAAGGAAAAGAACCAUUGGUUCUGGAGAGCCUGGAGUUCCUACAAAGAAGACUUGGUUUGAUAAACCAAAUUUUAAUAGAACAAACAGCCCAGGCUUUCAGAAGAAGGUUCAAUUUGGAAAUGAAAAUACCAAGCUUGAACUUAGAAAAGUUCCUCCAGAAUUAAAUAAUAUCAGCAAACUUAAUGAACAUUUUAGUCGAUUUGGAACCUUGGUUAACUUACAGGUUGCUUAUAAUGGUGAUCCUGAAGGUGCCCUAAUCCAAUUUGCAACAUACG
This 664-nucleotide long non-coding RNA is filed under the name Homo sapiens (human). Its description in RNAcentral is "long non-coding RNA NONHSAT166976.1". The record is from RNAcentral. Lineage: Eukaryota; Metazoa; Chordata; Mammalia; Primates; Hominidae.